UAGGGAAUCUUCCGCAAUGGGCGAAAGCCUGACGGAGCAAUGCCGCGUGAUUGAAGAAGGCCUACGGGUCGUAAAACUCUGUUAUAAGAGAAGAACAAAUUGUAGAGUAACUGCUACAGUCUUGACGGUAUCUUAUCAGAAAGCCACGGCUAACUACGUGCCAGCAGCCGCGGUAAUACGUAGGUGGCAAGCGUUGUCCGGAUUUAUUGGGCGUAAAGGGAGCGCAGGUGGUUUCUUAAGUCUGAUGUGAAAGCCCACGGCUUAACCGUGGAGGGUCAUUGGAAACUGGGAAACUUGAGUACAGAAGAGGAAUGUGGAACUCCAUGUGUAGCGGUGGAAUGCGUAGAUAUAUGGAAGAACGCCAGUGGCGAAGGCGACAUUCUGGUCUGUUACUGACACUGAGGCUCGAAAGCGUGGGGAGCAAACAGG
Molecule: ribosomal RNA, 429 nt
Filed under: Acidobacteriota bacterium
Lineage: Bacteria; Pseudomonadati; Acidobacteriota
Description: Acidobacteria bacterium partial 16S ribosomal RNA
Rfam family: Bacterial small subunit ribosomal RNA
Source: RNAcentral